Molecule: ribosomal RNA, 576 nt
Filed under: uncultured bacterium
Lineage: Bacteria
Description: bacterial SSU rRNA
Rfam family: Bacterial small subunit ribosomal RNA
Source: RNAcentral
ACGGGUGAGUAAUGUAUCGGAACGUGCCUAGUAGCGGGGGAUAACUACGCGAAAGCGUAGCUAAUACCGCAUACGCCCUACGGGGGAAAGCAGGGGAUCGCAAGACCUUGCACUAUUAGAGCGGCCGAUAUCGGAUUAGCUAGUUGGUGGGGUAACGGCUCACCAAGGCGACGAUCCGUAGCUGGUUUGAGAGGACGACCAGCCACACUGGGACUGAGACACGGCCCAGACUCCUACGGGAGGCAGCAGUGGGGAAUUUUGGACAAUGGGGGAAACCCUGAUCCAGCCAUCCCGCGUGUGCGAUGAAGGCCUUCGGGUUGUAAAGCACUUUUGGCAGGAAAGAAACGUCAUGGGUUAAUACCCCAUGAAACUGACGGUACCUGCAGAAUAAGCACCGGCUAACUACGUGCCAGCAGCCGCGGUAAUACGUAGGGUGCAAGCGUUAAUCGGAAUUACUGGGCGUAAAGCGUGCGCAGGCGGUUCGGAAAGAAAGAUGUGAAAUCCCAGAGCUUAACUUUGGAACUGCAUUUUUAACUACCGGGCUAGAGUGUGUCAGAGGGAGGUGGAAUUCCGCGU